CCUACGGGAGGCUGCAGUAAGGAAUAUUGGGCAAUGGAGGCAACUCUGACCCAGCCAUGCCGCGUGAAGGAUGACGGCCCUAUGGGUUGUAAACUUCUUUUAUACGGGAAUAAACCCGGGUACGUGUACCCGGCUGAAUGUACCGUAAGAAUAAGGAUCGGCUAACUCCGUGCCAGCAGCCGCAGUAAUACGGAGGAUCCAAGCGUUAUCCGGAUUAAAUGGGUUUAAAGCGUGCGUAUACGGCAGUGGUGAAAUCCGACAGCUUAACUGUAGAACUGCCGUUGAUACUGCAAGUCUUGAGUACAUUUGAUGUGGGCGGAAUGUGUCAUGUAGCGGUGAAAUGCUUAGAUAUGACACGGAACACCAAUUGCGAAGGCAGCUCACAAAACUGUAACUGACGCUGAGGCACGACAGCGUGGGGAUCAAACAGGAUUAGAUACCCGAGUAGUC
RNAcentral lists this ribosomal RNA (450 nucleotides) under uncultured bacterium. Its description in RNAcentral is "partial 16S ribosomal RNA". It matches the Rfam family "Bacterial small subunit ribosomal RNA", at positions 338 to 795 of the family's 1533-position model. The record is from RNAcentral.